GGAUAACAUACCGAAAGGUAUGCUAAUACGGGAUAAUAUAUUUGAGAGGCAUCUCUUAAAUAUCAAAGGUGAGCCAGUACAGGAUGGACCCGCGUCUGAUUAGCUAGUUGGUAAGGUAACGGCUUACCAAGGCGACGAUCAGUAGCCGACCUGAGAGGGUGAUCGGCCACAUUGGAACUGAGACACGGUCCAAACUCCCACGGGAGGCAGCAGUGGGGAAUAUUGCACAAUGGGCGAAAGCCUGAUGCAGCAACGCCGCGUGAGUGAUGAAGGCCUUCGGGUCGUAAAACUCUGUCCUCAAGGAAGAUAAUGACGGUACUUGAGGAGGAAGCCCCGGCUAACUACGUGCCAGCAGCCGCGGUAAUACGUAGGGGGCUAGCGUUAUCCGGAUUUACUGGGCGUAAAGGGUGCGUAGGCGGUCUUUCAAGUCAGGAGUGAAAGGCUACGGCUCAACCGUAGUAAGCUCUUGAAACUGGGAGACUUGAGUGCAGGAGAGGAGAGUGGAAUUCCUAGUGUAGCGGUGAAAUGCGUAGAUAUUAGGAGGAACACCAGUUGCGAAGGCGGCUCUCUGGACUGUAACUGACGCUGAGGCACGAAAGCGUGGGGAGCAAACAGGAUUAGAUACCCUGGUAGUCCACGCUGUAAACGAUGAGUACUAGGUGUCGGGGGUUACCCCCUUCGGUGCCGCA
This 689-nucleotide ribosomal RNA is filed under the name uncultured bacterium. RNAcentral describes it as "bacterial SSU rRNA". It matches the Rfam family "Bacterial small subunit ribosomal RNA", at positions 141 to 850 of the family's 1533-position model. The record is from RNAcentral.